RNAcentral lists this transfer RNA (73 nucleotides) under Fimbriiglobus ruber. It matches the Rfam family "tRNA". From Rfam's summary of the family: Transfer RNA (tRNA) molecules are approximately 80 nucleotides in length. Lineage: Bacteria; Pseudomonadati; Planctomycetota; Planctomycetia; Gemmatales; Gemmataceae. The record is from Rfam by way of RNAcentral.
GGGGACGUAGCUCAGCUGGGAGAGCACCUGCUUUGCAAGCAGGGGGUCAGGGGUUCGAUCCCCCUCGUCUCCA